RNAcentral lists this transfer RNA (81 nucleotides) under Allocoprococcus comes. Its description in RNAcentral is "Coprococcus comes tRNA-Tyr". It matches the Rfam family "tRNA". Rfam says of the family: Transfer RNA (tRNA) molecules are approximately 80 nucleotides in length. RNAcentral also lists the same sequence under 2 other names. Lineage: Bacteria; Bacillati; Bacillota; Clostridia; Lachnospirales; Lachnospiraceae. The record is from RNAcentral.
UGGUGGAUAUGCAAUUGGAAAAGCAGGCUGACUGUAAAUCAGUUCCUUCGGGUUUGUAGAGUUCGAGUCUCACUCCACCAA